RNAcentral lists this ribosomal RNA (501 nucleotides) under uncultured Glomeromycotina. Its description in RNAcentral is "partial small subunit ribosomal RNA". It matches the Rfam family "Eukaryotic small subunit ribosomal RNA", at positions 591 to 1092 of the family's 1831-position model. Lineage: Eukaryota; Fungi; Glomeromycota. The record is from RNAcentral.
CCAAUAGCGUAUAUUAAAGUUGUUGCAGUUAAAAAGCUCGUAGUUGAACCUUAGGCCCGUGCGGGCGGUCCGUCCUCUGGGCGAGCACUGCCUCGUCGCGGGUCUCACCUUCUGGCGAGCGUGGAUGCCAUUCAUUUGGUGUCUGCGGGAACCAGGACCUUUACCUUGAAAAAAUUAGAGUGCUCAAAGCGGGCUCUUACGCUUGAAUACAUUAGCAUGGAAUAAUGAAAUAGGACGACGGUUCUAUUUUGUUGGUUUCCGGGACGGUCGUAAUGAUUAAUAGGGAUAGUUGGGGGCAUUCGUAUUCAAUUGUCAGAGGUUAAAUUCUUGGAUUUAUUGAAGACGAACUACUGCGAAAGCAUUUGCCAAGGAUGUUUUCAUUAAUCAAGAACGAAAGUUGGGGGAUCGAAGACGAUCAGAUACCGUCGUAGUCUCAACCAUAAACUAAGCCGACUGGGAAUCGGGCGAUGUUAUUUUUCGUGACUCGCUCGGCGCCCCGAG